GGGGGCGGAGGGGAGCGGCUGGGUCCCCGCAGCUGCCCGCUGGUCCCCGCAGGUGCGCGCAGGUGCACGCAGGUCCCCGCAGGUGCCCGCAGCGCUGCCCCCCGCCCCCUCCCCUCCCCUCCCCUCCCCUCCCCUCCCCGCCCCCCGCGCACUGGGCUUCUUGCAUCGCGUUAGUUUGCCGCGUGUUUGGGGUCCGCGGGCUGGACCCGGUUCAGCGUCUCAGAGAAGGGGAGCGCCCCGCACCCGCACCCCGCGCCGCCCCCGGCCGCAGAGAUCACAAGCGUUUGCGCUGACAGCUGCGGCGGGGCGGGCGGCCUGUGCCCGGGGGCGGGGGCGGGGGCGGGGGCGGGGGGGGCUCCCGGCGAUGCGAGUGGAAGCGGAUGGGAGGCGAGGGCCGGGCCCCCAUCUCCCGAGAGCCCCGCGGCUUCCUAAAGCCCUUCCCGGGGAGGGAUGGGAGGCUCUGCCGCAAAGGAGCGGCUGCCACGCGCGCGCCUCGCGUCCCUCCCCGGGUCCCUCUUCCCACGCACGACACACGGGGCGCUAGAAGGGACCAGACCGCAAAGCCCCCUGCGCGGCAGCCCCUGGGGUCCCCCGGGCAAGCAGGGGACGGGGCGCUGCGAUCCCGGCCGCCAGGCCGCCUGCAGGUGCCCCAGCCGCCCCCUCCCCGGCCGGGUCGCCUGGGCCUCGGUGCAGGUCGAGGUGUCAGGACAUCUGCACUCGGGCCGCCCACCCCUAGGGCUCCGCACGGCGGGGGCUCCGCACACUACACCCCGGUCCUCGGCCUCGCAGGGAGCCCGGCCGCCCCCCGGACACCAGCCCUGGAGAGAGGAAGAGAAGACAAGGGGACAGAAGAAGUGCUUCCCGCAGAGGGGACACUGCUGUCUGCUGGAUUUAAAAGUGCGGCCUCUUUGAAACAAAUACCGUGA
Molecule: long non-coding RNA, 926 nt
Filed under: Canis lupus familiaris (dog)
Lineage: Eukaryota; Metazoa; Chordata; Mammalia; Carnivora; Canidae
Description: lncRNA (ENSCAFG00845016470.1)
Source: RNAcentral